RNAcentral lists this ribosomal RNA (379 nucleotides) under Halomonas sp. AGD 2. RNAcentral's name for it is "bacterial SSU rRNA". It matches the Rfam family "Bacterial small subunit ribosomal RNA", at positions 42 to 419 of the family's 1533-position model. Lineage: Bacteria; Pseudomonadati; Pseudomonadota; Gammaproteobacteria; Oceanospirillales; Halomonadaceae. The record is from RNAcentral.
GCAGGCCUAACACAUGCAAGUCGAGCGGAAACGAUGGGAGCUUGCUCCCAGGCGUCGAGCGGCGGACGGGUGAGUAAUGCAUAGGAAUCUGCCCGAUAGUGGGGGAUAACCUGGGGAAACUCAGGCUAAUACCGCAUACGUCCUACGGGAGAAAGCAGGGGCUCUUCGGACCUUGCGCUAUCGGAUGAGCCUAUGUCGGAUUAGCUAGUUGGUGAGGUAAAGGCUCACCAAGGCGACGAUCCGUAGCUGGUCUGAGAGGAUGAUCAGCCACAUCGGGACUGAGACACGGCCCGAACUCCUACGGGAGGCAGCAGUGGGGAAUAUUGGACAAUGGGGGCAACCCUGAUCCAGCCAUGCCGCGUGUGUGAAGAAGGCCUUC